UGGGGAAUCUUCCGCAAUGGGCGAAAGCCUGACGGAGCAAUGCCGCGUGAGUGAUGAAGGAAUUCGUUCCGUAAAGCUCUUUUGUUUAUGACGAAUGUGCAGAUUGUGAAUAAUGAUCUGUAAUGACGGUAGUAAACGAAUAAGCCACGGCUAACUACGUGCCAGCAGCCGCGGUAAUACGUAGGUGGCGAGCGUUGUCCGGAAUUAUUGGGCGUAAAGAGCAUGUAGGCGGUUUUUUAAGUCUGGAGUGAAAAUGCGGGGCUCAACCCCGUAUGGCUCUGGAUACUGGAAGACUUGAGUGCAGGAGAGGAAAGGGGAAUUCCCAGUGUAGCGGUGAAAUGCGUAGAUAUUGGGAGGAACACCAGUGGCGAAGGCGCCUUUCUGGACUGUGUCUGACGCUGAGAUGCGAAAGCCAGGGUAGCGAACGGG
Molecule: ribosomal RNA, 429 nt
Filed under: uncultured Phascolarctobacterium sp.
Lineage: Bacteria; Bacillati; Bacillota; Negativicutes; Acidaminococcales; Acidaminococcaceae
Description: bacterial SSU rRNA
Rfam family: Bacterial small subunit ribosomal RNA
Source: RNAcentral